AGUGAAGUGUCCUCACAAUGAGACGUCCACAGGGCGGUGAAGAAGGUGAAGCUGCAGCCUCUGAAUAUGAGAACCCAACCAGAACCUCCAAGCUGCCAUCAGAGAAAGUGGUCCUGCUGGUUCUGGGAUCUCUGCUGGCUGCUGCUCUCAUCAUCAUCUACAGACUCUCUUUUGAUAAGAUACAAACAAAUCAAGCUGUCCAGACCCUGAAAGAGGAGAAAGAAGCGCUAAGGAGAAAUAUCUCAGAACUGAUGUCUAAAAUAUCUGCAUGUUCACCACCUCCAACAUGUCCAAAAACUC
Molecule: long non-coding RNA, 300 nt
Organism: Fundulus heteroclitus (mummichog)
Lineage: Eukaryota; Metazoa; Chordata; Actinopteri; Cyprinodontiformes; Fundulidae
Exons: 4
Source: RefSeq, a predicted model, not a curated record